ACUCCUACGGGAGGCAGCAGUGGGGAAUAUUGCACAAUGGGCGCAAGCCUGAUGCAGCCAUGCCGCGUGUAUGAAGAAGGCCUUCGGGUUGUAAAGUACUUUCAGCAGUGAGGAAGGUGGAUAUGUUAAUAGCAUAUUCAUUUGACGUUAGCUGCAGAAGAAGCACCGGCUAACUCCGUGCCAGCAGCCGCGGUAAUACGGAGGGUGCGAGCGUUAAUCGGAAUUACUGGGCGUAAAGCGCAUGCAGGUGGUUUGUUAAGUCAGAUGUGAAAGCCCGGGGCUCAACCUCGGAAUUGCAUUUGAAACUGGCAAACUAGAGUACUGUAGAGGGGGGUAGAAUUUCAGGUGUAGCGGUGAAAUGCGUAGAGAUCUGAAGGAAUACCGGUGGCGAAGGCGGCCCCCUGGACAGAUACUGACACUCAGAUGCGAAAGCGUGGGGAGCAAACAGGAUUAGAUACCCUGGUAA
Molecule: ribosomal RNA, 466 nt
Filed under: uncultured bacterium
Lineage: Bacteria
Description: bacterial SSU rRNA
Rfam family: Bacterial small subunit ribosomal RNA
Source: RNAcentral